Molecule: ribosomal RNA, 520 nt
Filed under: uncultured Glomus
Lineage: Eukaryota; Fungi; Glomeromycota; Glomeromycetes; Glomerales; Glomeraceae
Description: SSU rRNA
Rfam family: Eukaryotic small subunit ribosomal RNA
Source: RNAcentral
AGCAGCCGCGGUAAUUCCAGCUCCAAUAGCGUAUAUUAAAGUUGUUGCAGUUAAAAACUCGUAGUUGAAUUUCGGGACCAAUCUGCCGGUCGUGCCUCCGGUACGCACUGGUUUUAUUGGUUUCUCCCUUCUGACGAACCAUGAUGUCAUUAAUUUGGUGUCAUGGGGAAUCAGGACUGUUACUUUGAAAAAAUUAGAGUGUUUAUAGCAGGCUUACGCUUGAAUACAUUAGCAUGGAAUAAUGAAAUAGGACGUUUGACCCUAUUUUGUUGGUUUCUAGGAUCGACGUAAUGAUUAAUAGGGAUAGUUGGGGGCAUUAGUAUUCAAUUGUCAGAGGUGAAAUUCUUGGAUUUAUUGAAGACUAACUACUGCGAAAGCAUUUGCCAAGGAUGUUUUCAUUAAUCAAGAACGAAAGUUAGGGGAUCGAAGACGAUCAGAUACCGUCGUAGUCUUAACCAUAAACUAUGCCGACUAGGGAUCGGAUGAUGUUAAUUUUUAAUGACUCAUUCGGCGCCUUACG